UACAGAGGGUGCGAGCGUUAAUCGGAAUUACUGGGCGUAAAGCGCGCGUGGGCGGCUUUGCAAGUCGGGUGUGAAAUCCCCAGGCUUAACCUGGGAACUGCAUUCGAGACUGCAUUGCUAGAGUAUGGGAGAGGGAAGUGGAAUUUCCGGUGUAGCGGUGAAAUGCGUAGAUAUCUGGAGGAAUACCGGUGGCGAAGGCGGCAUCCUGGACCAUUUACUGACGCUGAGGCGCGAAAGCUAGGGGAGCAAACGGG
This 254-nucleotide ribosomal RNA is filed under the name uncultured bacterium. RNAcentral's name for it is "partial 16S ribosomal RNA". It matches the Rfam family "Bacterial small subunit ribosomal RNA", at positions 524 to 776 of the family's 1533-position model. The record is from RNAcentral.